RNAcentral lists this ribosomal RNA (666 nucleotides) under Burkholderia sp. Cs123. RNAcentral describes it as "bacterial SSU rRNA". It matches the Rfam family "Bacterial small subunit ribosomal RNA", at positions 90 to 753 of the family's 1533-position model. Lineage: Bacteria; Pseudomonadati; Pseudomonadota; Betaproteobacteria; Burkholderiales; Burkholderiaceae. The record is from RNAcentral.
GGCGAGUGGCGAACGGGUGAGUAAUACAUCGCAACGUGUCCUGGAGUGGGGGAUAGCCCGGCGAAAGCCGGAUUAAUACCGCAUACGAUCUCUGGAUGAAAGCGGGGGACCGAAAGGCCUCGCGCUCAAGGGGCGGCCGAUGGCAGAUUAGCUAGUUGGUGGGGUAAAGGCCUACCAAGGCGACGAUCUGUAGCUGGUCUGAGAGGACGACCAGCCACACUGGGACUGAGACACGGCCCAGACUCCUACGGGAGGCAGCAGUGGGGAAUUUUGGACAAUGGGGGCAACCCUGAUCCAGCAAUGCCGCGUGUGUGAAGAAGGCCUUCGGGUUGUAAAGCACUUUUGUCCGGAAAGAAAACCGCUUCUCUAAUACAGAGGUGGGAUGACGGUACCGGAAGAAUAAGCACCGGCUAACUACGUGCCAGCAGCCGCGGUAAUACGUAGGGUGCGAGCGUUAAUCGGAAUUACUGGGCGUAAAGCGUGCGCAGGCGGUUCGCUAAGACCGAUGUGAAAUCCCCGGGCUUAACCUGGGAACUGCAUUGGUGACUGGCGGGCUAGAGUAUGGCAGAGGGGGGUAGAAUCCACGUGUAGCAGUGAAAUGCGUAGAGAUGUGGAGGAAUACCGAUGGCGAAGGCAGCCCCCUGGGCCAAUACUGACGCUCAUGCA